This 2004-nucleotide long non-coding RNA is filed under the name Cucumis sativus (cucumber). RNAcentral describes it as "long non-coding RNA (CSAT_LNC000681)". Lineage: Eukaryota; Viridiplantae; Streptophyta; Magnoliopsida; Cucurbitales; Cucurbitaceae. The record is from RNAcentral.
GAGGAGGACCUUCCUCUCUUCUCCAGCCAGCCGCCGGCCACACCGUCGCCGGUGAAUGUUUGCCCCCGUCUCUCUCCGUCUCGAUUUCCUCUUUGUCGCUGAUUCGUACGUACCCAGCCGCCCAGCCUCCGAUCACUGGUGGUCGUCGCUGUACAGCCCGUAAGUUAUUUAGAGACUUUUAAGGUUAAUUCCAAAUGGGGGUUAGCCCCUAAUUAUUGAAAGUAAUUCUAGCUUGUGAUUUACGUGUGAAUUGAGGCUUCAGUCAGCUAAAUGAAGAUUAUUUGAAUAUUUGUUGAGAUUCAAUUGCGAGGUAAGUGACUCUAUUGUUGGAAUGCUCAAGAGCCAAGCAAAAUUGAGGAAGAUUAUUUGGAGAUUAGUAUUUUAGUAUGAUUUGUGAUUUUAUUUGGGACUUCAUGCAUGUAUGUAUGUUCGUGGAUUUACUAACUUGAUAUGAUGCCUAGAAUGACAUAGUUUGAGUUUGGAAUUGCAUGGUUUAGCCUAGAAUGACACGAUUUUAUGUAUAGAUUAGCAAAGACGGUAAGUACUUGAAAGUAUUAGCAAAGUUUAAGAGAUUUUGACUUUGGGGGGAAAUCAGAACUAGAGAAGUAGGUGAAAAGUCAUCAAUUUGAUUGAAAAGACGAAGUAAUUAAGCAUGAAGUAAACAAUGAGUUACUAGUGUUAAAAGUAAAGUAAGUUAGAUCUCCCACGAUUAUCAUUAUCACAAGAGGUGAACUUGAGAAUAGAGUUUGGGCUGAGAGAAACUCCCGUUCCCCAAGGUUUCUUAUGAAGAGGCUUUAGCAGAGUUGGAGUCUGUUAAACUGUUUUAAAAGUUUGGUUGUUCUUAGAGGGAUAUUAAAAUUGAAUGUUCUUUCUUUCUGUGUUAGGACUUGAUUGAUUGUGUCAGGUGCUUUUUGGUUUAAUAAUUUUUAUUUGGGAAGUCUUAGAUUGUUCCUCGCUCUUUUAGUAAAAAAGUAGAGGACUAGUUUCGUUGUUUAGUUUUUUCGUUGUGCUUGCGUUUAAAUAGUUUAUAAAGUUUGAUAAUACUCCCUAAUUUAAGUGCUAAUUUUGGGUUGUUAUAAAGACGAUGGAACAGCGAGCAGAGGGUGAGUCGAUAAGAGUAGCCUCUGAGGAGCUCUCUCAGGAGUUCAAAACUUUGAUGAAUACUGAUGAUUUGAACUCUCUCAACCAUUUGCAACACCUCAUGUAAGUUCUGUUCUCACUCUUCUGCUUAUCAGCAUCCCUCUCAAAAGUAGAGGGGAAAUUUGACAAAUUAGGACUCAAAUUGGAGUUCUGUACUAACUUGAUCGUUGAACUGUUUGAUAUACUUUUUUCAUUUAUGAAAAUUUGAAGAAUAUGUAAAAUUAUUAUUAUUAUUACAUUGAUUGUUCCAUUGAAUCUCUCAUUGCAGAUUGGGCAGAUUGCAGGAUAGCAAUGCAGUCCUGUCUCAUUUCAACGAGUUUUCGGAGCAUUGCUUUGCUGAAGUUUCUGGAGAUCUAUCUAGAAAUACUCGUCUUUUAAACUCUAUGAAAUCUGACCUUGAUUACAUAUUUCAGAAAAUAAGGUAUGGUGGUGAUCAUUUUUUUAGUGACACAUGAGUUCUUUUCAUUAUUGUUUAUGGUUUUAGGUGGUGCUUUUGUUCUACCAUGUCCAAAGUUAUAUUUGUUGAAAUUUGGCUUAGAAUUCAACCCUUAAACUUCAAAAUGAUUUAAAUGAUGCAAAUCAUAUAAGAAAUGGUGUGAAAAUAGGCUUAAUUUUCAAAAGCCAAAAAUAAAAAGUGAAAUGGUUACCAUCUGGAACCUUCAAAUUUCUUCUUUGCUGUGAUGCACCCGUACUAGUUGUAGUAGACGGAAUUAUACAUCCUCUCUGCUCUUUCUUGCAUCUUAUUUCACUACAAGAAAAUUUUGAAAUUGUAUCCUGAUGACCUUGAAGAUCAUGACCAAAUAUAGCCAUAUCUCUCUAGUUUGUUUAGUUCAUCUAUUUCUUUUUCCUUCUCCUUUUUUUCAU